CGAUAAAUGAUGCUAAAUGAGCGAAGAGUGCCGUGAAGAGAUUUUUACAAGCAGUUUUGUUAAAUUAAAUAAAAGAAUCAUUUUUCUCCAAAAGUUUAAACUGGUUUCAUUUAAAACACAUAUCGGUUAGGAGUAGGGCUACUAUACUAUUAUGAGUGUUGGGCCCUUCGUACUCAUAAGUUGUUUUCGAUGAUGGAGCUUCCGAAUCGACGAUCCACUCCGUUAAAUAUGAUCUACAGUAUUUAAAACUUUUAGAAAAUAAAUUUCGUAAUUUUUCAAAAUCAUAAUAAAGUCCAUCAAGCGGGCAUAAAAUGAACGGUCAAAAUCGAACGAUGUCUUAAAAAUGGAUGAUCGGAUCCUUCAAUUUAAGAUCGGAGUUAUUGAUCUUUAUCUAGGUAGUGAAUAGAAUUUUCUAUCAAAAAUUCAACCUAUUCGGAUUCUUUUGCACCGUUAAACUAGCAAGUAUUCCAUACCGGCCGUUAAAAAUUGUUAAUUUUGUGAGCUUUUGAUCUUAAGGUAAAUGAUGUCGAAAAAUUAUGAAAUUUGAUUUCUAGAUGUUUCAAAUGCUUUAGAUAACGUUUAAUGGUGUGGAUCGUUGAUUCGGAAGCUCUAUCAUCGAAAACAACUUAUGAGCACGAGGGCGAUCGUACUCAUAAUAGUAUAGUAGCCGGACUCAUCAGUUGGAGACUUAUUGCUAGGUUUAUGACAUGAACUUGAAUUACAUAUAUAAGAGAAAAUUAAUAAUG
Molecule: long non-coding RNA, 746 nt
Filed under: Ananas comosus (pineapple)
Lineage: Eukaryota; Viridiplantae; Streptophyta; Magnoliopsida; Poales; Bromeliaceae
Description: long non-coding RNA (ACOM_LNC023775)
Source: RNAcentral